Molecule: ribosomal RNA, 936 nt
Filed under: Cortinarius meleagris
Lineage: Eukaryota; Fungi; Basidiomycota; Agaricomycetes; Agaricales; Cortinariaceae
Description: partial large subunit ribosomal RNA
Rfam family: Eukaryotic large subunit ribosomal RNA
Source: RNAcentral
CAUAUCAAUAAGCGGAGGAAAAGAAACUAACAAGGAUUCCCCUAGUAACUGCGAGUGAAGCGGGAAAAGCUCAAAUUUAAAAUCUGUCAGUCUUUGGCUGUCCGAGUUGUAAUCUAGAGAAGUGUUAUCCGCGUUGGACCGUGUACAAGUCUCCUGGAAUGGAGCGUCAUAGAGGGUGAGAAUCCCGUCUUUGACACGGACUGCCAGGGCUUUGUGAUGCGCUCUCAAAGAGUCGAGUUGUUUGGGAAUGCAGCUCAAAAUGGGUGGUAAAUUCCAUCUAAAGCUAAAUAUUGGCGAGAGACCGAUAGCGAACAAGUACCGUGAGGGAAAGAUGAAAAGAACUUUGGAAAGAGAGUUAAACAGUACGUGAAAUUGCUGAAAGGGAAACGCUUGAAGUCAGUCGCGUUAUCCAGGGAUCAACCUUGCUUUUGCUUGGUGUACUUUCUGGUUAAUGGGUCAGCAUCAAUUUUGACUAUUGGAAAAAGAUCAGGGGAAUGUGGCAUCUUCGGAUGUGUUAUAGCCCUUGGUUGCAUACAAUGGUUGGGAUUGAGGAACUCAGCACGCCGCAAGGCCGGGUUUUUAACCACGUACGUGCUUAGGAUGCUGGCAUAAUGGCUUUAAUCGACCCGUCUUGAAACACGGACCAAGGAGUCUAACAUACCUGCGAGUGUUUGGGUGGAAAACCCGAGCGCGUAAUGAAAGUGAAAGUUGAGAUCCCUGUCGUGGGGAGCAUCGACGCCCGGACCAGACCUUUUGUGACGGUUCCGCGGUAGAGCAUGUAUGUUGGGACCCGAAAGAUGGUGAACUAUGCCUGAAUAGGGUGAAGCCAGAGGAAACUCUGGUGGAGGCUCGUAGCGAUUCUGACGUGCAAAUCGAUCGUCAAAUUUGGGUAUAGGGGCGAAAGACUAAUCGAACCAUCUAGUAGCUGGUUCCUGC